This 119-nucleotide ribosomal RNA is filed under the name Propithecus coquereli (Coquerel's sifaka). The record is from RNAcentral. Lineage: Eukaryota; Metazoa; Chordata; Mammalia; Primates; Indriidae.
GUCUAUGGUCAUGCCACCUUGAGGGCGUUCAAUCUCGUCUGAUCUUGAAAGCUAAAUAGAGUCAGGCCUGGUUAGUACUUGGAUGGGAGACUUCCUGGAAAUACUGUGUGAUGUAGGCU